RNAcentral lists this long non-coding RNA (1538 nucleotides) under Homo sapiens (human). RNAcentral describes it as "non-protein coding lnc-ELFN1-1:7". Lineage: Eukaryota; Metazoa; Chordata; Mammalia; Primates; Hominidae. The record is from RNAcentral.
CUGGAACCGUCUGAGCGGCGGGGGAGCCGGUGUGUGAAGCCGGCACCACGUUAGCGGAACCGAGUUAUUGAAGGGCCCCACCUGGGUGGAGCCGUGAGUGUGAGCAGCUUCCGCUUCCCCCGGAAGCUGGCGUCGUGCAGGAACCCUCACCCGCCCGAGCGGGGCCCUGGGCCUCCGGGUCACUCUCUGUGGCGGGGUCUGGCUGCGCGUCAGACGGCCUCCUCCAAUGCCCGCAGUUGCUGUCGCCCCCAGGCCUGGACCGGGGAGUGAGGGGUGGGCCUGACCGGCCCCUGAGCUCCCGUCAGCCCCCCACGCGAGCCCGUCCUGUGCUGGGGGCAGGGAGAUGGGCCGGUGGGAGAGGAGACCGCAUCCAGCCCUCCCUGGCCACCUGCAGGGUCCCCACCGUGGCGGCUGCUUUACUGCUAACUCCUCCCGGGGACCCCAAGUCCCCAUCGCUCUCGGGGGUCCCCCUCAUCCGAACCGCCUCGGAGGAGGGCCGCAUCUCACGCGGAGCACCCCUCCACGCCUGUGACCCUGGACUUGCUCUCCCGCCCCCGCCCGGGCCUCAGGGCUCAGGAGGCCGUGAUGAAGCCAGCAGGUGAACUGCACCCUGGAGCCUCCGACGGGGCGGCCACGGGCAGCGAAGAACCCGGAAAAACAGUACCCUUCUGAGGUUAAUCCGCGUUGAUAGAAGCAGGUGUGGUUCAUCUGGAAUCUGUUGGUGUGAACUGCGCGGCGGCGUCCCCCACCAGGCACCACAGGUGAUUCAUUCGUUUCCCUGAAAAGGCGCCUGGAUGCUGUUUCUAGCUCCCGUUAUCCCCAGCGAUGCUGCACCUGCCCCAGGACACACGCUAGGGUGGAACCGCCGGGCAUGGAGCAGGUGUGGUCUCAACCGCAGGAGAAACAGCCGGGUAGCCUCCAAAGGGACGUGCCACUUGGCGCUCCUGCAAGGGGAGAGGCACUGAGGCUCUCGGUCCUCACCAGCACGUCCUUGUGCCACACUCAGGCCCGGCGGGUGGUGUGGGGGCCGCAUCUCAUGGAGGUCUCCGUCCACGUUGCCCCCAUUGUGACCGCAGCGGGCGCCUCUUGGUAGCAGCCACCGGCCUCUUCUGGGACUCGCCGGAGGGUUUCCACGUCGCCCGCUCCGACGGGGCUGUUCAUCUCCCCUUGAUCUGUGGGACUCCCCGUCCGUCUCAGGUUGCAUUCCAUGGGCCCGGGAGCCUUUUUUGGACAGACGCCGUGGUGUGACUCCAGCUGAGCUGCCCCCUUGGCCAGGGCCACCAGAGGCAGCCCCCUGCCUCCAGAUCAAGAGCCCACCCACCCUCACGGGUGGCCAGGAGCUGGCCCCUGGCCUGUGGGCCGGCCUGGCUGCCUUGGUCAUGGCAGGAAGGAUCCAUCACUGCUGCCUGAUGGAUGAUCUGAGCCGCCUCCUGCCCGCGCCCCGUGCUGUUUCAGCUGCAGAAAAAUGUUUAUCACUCGGCACAGCAGCGACCCUCCCUCCCUGCCUGCCUCCCUCCCUGCCUGCCUCCCUCCCUCCC